RNAcentral lists this ribosomal RNA (253 nucleotides) under uncultured bacterium. Its description in RNAcentral is "partial 16S ribosomal RNA". It matches the Rfam family "Bacterial small subunit ribosomal RNA", at positions 524 to 776 of the family's 1533-position model. The record is from RNAcentral.
UACGUAGGGGGCAAGCGUUGUCCGGAAUCAUUGGGCGUAAAGCGCGCGUAGGCGGCCCUGUAAGUCCGUUGUGAAAGUCAAAGGCUCAACCUUUGAAAGCCGAUGGAUACUGCAGGGCUAGAGUCCGGAAGAGGCGAGUGGAAUUCCCGGUGUAGCGGUGAAAUGCGCAGAUAUCGGGAAGAACACCCGUGGCUAAGGCGGCUCUCUAGUACGGUACUGACGCUGAGACGCGAAAGCGUGGGGAGCGAACAGG